AUGACUGCGGUGUCCGAGCAGCGUCGUGGCCACCCUGUGUGCCCACUCCCUGGUGGACAGACCUACGUCACCUGGGGAUUGCAGAGCAAAAGGAGUGCUGUUGGGGUGAUGUGAGGUUGGGGUUCUGUUUCUUGCUGUGAAUUGGGUCAUGACCUGUGUCGGAGCGUUCUCUGGCCUCCACUUGCCCCUGCAGACCAGGGUGUCUGGAGGGUUGUCGGGGGCUUGAUGGAGGAAUUGCUGACCACACCAUGCAGGAAGAGGUGGGUCCCAGGGACACAGGAACUUUGGGGUCAGCCGGUUCCAGAUUCAGUUGCAGAGGAGCAUCCCCCUUGCUUAGCCAGGGAGGGGAAGCCCUCUUCUCACACCCGGCCUGGGUAUGUUGUGGGAGAGUCAUUUCCCAGGAGGAAAUGGGGACUGUUACCGGGGGAGGGGGUGCUGUCCCCAGGCAGCAGCAAGCGUCCCUUACGCUUGGGCUGUCCGAGACCCUGCUGCUCUAGGCGGUUGUGA
This 507-nucleotide long non-coding RNA is filed under the name Homo sapiens (human). RNAcentral describes it as "non-protein coding lnc-U2AF2-2:3". Lineage: Eukaryota; Metazoa; Chordata; Mammalia; Primates; Hominidae. The record is from RNAcentral.